RNAcentral lists this ribosomal RNA (476 nucleotides) under uncultured bacterium. Its description in RNAcentral is "partial 16S ribosomal RNA". It matches the Rfam family "Bacterial small subunit ribosomal RNA", at positions 28 to 523 of the family's 1533-position model. The record is from RNAcentral.
GAUGAACGCUGGCGGCGUGCUUAACACAUGCAAGUCGAGCGAGUGAGUUCUUCGGAACGAUCUAGCGGCGGACGGGUGAGUAACACGUGGGCAACCUGCCUCAUAGAGGGGAAUAGCCUCCCGAAAGGGAGAUUAAGACCGCAUAAAAUUAUCAAGUGGCAUCACAUGAUAAUCAAAGGAGUAAUCCGCUAUGAGAUGGGCCCGCGGCGCAUUAGCUAGUUGGUGAGGUAACGGCUCACCAAGGCGACGAUGCGUAGCCGACCUGAGAGGGUGAUCGGCCACAUUGGGACUGAGACACGGCCCAGACUCCUACGGGAGGCAGCAGUGGGGAAUAUUGCACAAUGGGGGAAACCCUGAUGCAGCAACGCCGCGUGAGUGAUGAAGGUCUUCGGAUUGUAAGGCUCUGUCUUUGGGGACGAUAAUGACGGUACCCAAGGAGGAAGCCACGGCUAACUACGUGCCAGCCGCCGCUGUAA